Molecule: long non-coding RNA, 940 nt
Organism: Selaginella moellendorffii
Lineage: Eukaryota; Viridiplantae; Streptophyta; Lycopodiopsida; Selaginellales; Selaginellaceae
Exons: 5
Source: RefSeq, a predicted model, not a curated record
UCUUGUGAGAAUUGGUGGUGCUCCUCCCCAGCACAAUGCAUUUGAUGAUUCCACGCCACCAUUUGUCUCGUCAUAUGCUCACUGCCACUGUUCUUCCUCUGCUUCCAGAGCACAGGCGCCAGAAAAGUUUGAAGAGGCAUUCUGAACUUGACACCAUUUCCUCCAGGUAAUCCAAGCUUUCAGACAUGGUGAAGUUCCAGAAGCAGCUGGAGGGCCAGCUCGUCCCAGAGUGGUGGGUGAAGUACUGCGACUACAAGCAGCUCAAGAAAGUUGUCAAGAGAAUCAAAAACCAGAUCCUACAUACCAAGAACCAGCAGCACAAGGUGUUCGAUCCAAAUGUCUUCUCGGUUGACAAGAGCAAGCUUCAAAACUUGCUGCAAAAUCCCAGCGCCAUCCUGAGCAGCUGCUGCGAACAAUCCAUAUCCUCGGAAACGUCCAUGGAUGUUCUGGACUGUAAAGACAAAACAAAACACUUCAAUACGAUCAGGUUGUGCACAAGACGAGAAUUGGAGAUGGUGAGGAUUUUUACGAGACGGAGCUGUUUGGAACUCGAUCAGAUCACGAAAAGAGCUUCUUUUUCGGCCUUGACGAUCAGCUCAACAAAGUGGACAAGUUUUUUAGAUGCAAGGAAGACGAGUACGAUGCUCAAGCACGGCAACUUCACAUCCAAAUGGAAGAGCUCAUCGCUAUGCAAGAUGACGAAUCUCAGAGCUUGAAGGGGAGCCUGGCAACAAAGGAAAGGUUCAGCGAGCAGCCAAGAUGCUCCAGACGGCCUUUGUCGAAUUUUAUCGUGGGCUUCGACUCCUAAGAAACUUCAGCUCCUUGAACGUGAUGGCAUUCGUCAAGAUCCGCAAGAAAUAUGACAAGGUGACUGGAGUCUGGCAGUUACCUCAAGAUGGUCGAAAACUCUCACUUUGCAACGUCGGACAAGGUGUGAAUC